This 849-nucleotide ribosomal RNA is filed under the name uncultured Planctomycetota bacterium. Its description in RNAcentral is "bacterial SSU rRNA". It matches the Rfam family "Bacterial small subunit ribosomal RNA", at positions 58 to 928 of the family's 1533-position model. Lineage: Bacteria; Pseudomonadati; Planctomycetota. The record is from RNAcentral.
CAAGUCGAGCGAGGAAAGUUUGUAGCAAUACGAGCUUAUUCGAGCGGCGUAAGGGGCAGUAAUACCUGGGAACGUACCCUCGGGUCGGGGAUAGCUGCUGGAAACGGCGAGUAAUACCCGAUGACACCGGAAGGUCAAAGGCUUGCCGCCCAAGGAGCGGCCCAGGCGAUAUUAGCUAGUUGGUGAGGUAAUGGCUUACCAAGGCAUAGAUGUCUAGCGGGUGUGAGAGCACGACCCGCGCCACUGGCACUGAGACACUGGCCAGACACCUACGGGUGGCUGCAAUCGAGAAUCUUCGGCAAUGAGCGCAAGCUUGACCGAGCGACGCCGCGUGCGGGAUGAAGGCCUUCGGGUUGUAAACCGCUUUGGUCCGAGAGAAAGGGUAAAACUUGAUCGAUCGGAGAAACAAGGACGGGCUAAGUUCGUGCCAGCAGCCGCGGUAAGACGAACCGUCCAAACGUUAUUCGGAAUCACUGGGCUUAAAGGGCGCGUAGGCGGCCGAGCGGGUCGCGGGUGAAAUCCCCCAGCUUAACUGGGGAACUGCCCUCGAUACCACUGCGGCUCGAGGAAGGAAGGGGCAAUCGGAACUGUCGGUGGAGCGGUGAAAUGCGUUGAUAUCGACAGGAACGCCGGUGGCGAAAGCGGAUUGCUGGUCCUUUUCUGACGCUGAUGCGCGAAAGCCAGGGGAGCAAACGGGAUUAGAUACCCCGGUAGUCCUGGCCUUAAACGAUGAGAACUAGGUAGUGGGUCCGACCUGGGCACACUGCCGAAGCGAAAGUCUUAAGUUCUCCGCCUGGGGAGUAUGGUCGCAAGGCUGAAACUCAAAGGAAUUGACGGGGGCUCACACAA